RNAcentral lists this ribosomal RNA (254 nucleotides) under uncultured bacterium. RNAcentral describes it as "partial 16S ribosomal RNA". It matches the Rfam family "Bacterial small subunit ribosomal RNA", at positions 524 to 776 of the family's 1533-position model. The record is from RNAcentral.
GACGAACCGUGCGAACGUUAUUCGGAAUCACUGGGCUUAAAGCGCGUGUAGGCGGGCCGGUACGUCGGUCGCUGAAAGCCCCCGGCUCAACCGGGGAAGCGGCGGCGAUACGACCGGCCUGGAGGGGGGUAGGGGGACCUGGAACUUCCGGUGGAGCGGUGAAAUGCGUUGAGAUCGGAAGGAACGCCCGUGGCGAAAGCGGCAUCCUGGACCGACACUGACGCUGAGGCGCGAAAGCUAGGGGAGCAAACGGG